RNAcentral lists this small RNA (380 nucleotides) under Arabidopsis thaliana (thale cress). RNAcentral describes it as "ATSL014630". The record is from RNAcentral. Lineage: Eukaryota; Viridiplantae; Streptophyta; Magnoliopsida; Brassicales; Brassicaceae.
UCUUAUUGUUGAGGUUGGCAUUUUAUCAUUGAGGCCUUCCUUAAAUGAUUACCUCUGACCGAGACAGAGGUUUCUAGUUCUGCACAUAAUUAAACAAACCAUAUACCGCAGGGCCGGCUCAGAAUAAUAAAGGACCUAGAGCUGGAAAAAAAAAUUAGUUCUCAUUUUUGUGUUUUGUUAUAUAUCAAAAUUUUUGGACCCUAACUAUAAUAGAUUUACUUUUAAAAAAAAAGAAAUUUUGGGUAGACCCUGUGCCUCAGCUCCUCCAGCACAUGUGUAAAGCCGGCCUGCAUAUACGAUUAGUACUUGGAGUCAAAGUAACCUCAUGGAAAGACAAAACUAAGCUUAAAGACACAGACUUUACACAAGUUACAGAUUCA